This 441-nucleotide ribosomal RNA is filed under the name uncultured bacterium. RNAcentral's name for it is "bacterial SSU rRNA". It matches the Rfam family "Bacterial small subunit ribosomal RNA", at positions 29 to 516 of the family's 1533-position model. The record is from RNAcentral.
AACGAACGCUGGCGGCAGGCCUAACACAUGCAAGUCGAGCGGGGGAGCAAUCCCUAGCGGCGGACGGGUGAGUAACGCGUGGGAACGUACCCUUUGCUUCGGAAUAGCCCCGGGAAACUGGGAGUAAUACCGGAUGUGCCCUACGGGGGAAAGAAUUUCGGCAAAGGAUCGGCCCGCGUUGGAUUAGGUAGUUGGUGGGGUAAUGGCCUACCAAGCCGACGAUCCAUAGCUGGUUUGAGAGGAUGAUCAGCCACACUGGGACUGAGACACGGCCCAGACUCCUACGGGAGGCAGCAGUGGGGAAUCUUAGACAAUGGGCGCAAGCCUGAUCUAGCCAUGCCGCGUGAGCGAUGAAGGCCUUAGGGUUGUAAAGCUCUUUUACCCGGGAUGAUAAUGACAGUACCGGGAGAAUAAGCUCCGGCUAAACCCGUCGUCGACGAC